UAAGGAAUAUUGGACAAUGGACGAAAGUCUGAUCCAGCCAUGCCACGUGCAGGAUGACAGCCCUACGGGUUGUAAACUGCUUUUAUACAGGAAGAAACACUCCGACGUGUCGGAGCUUGACGGUACUGUAAGAAUAAGGAUCGGCUAACUCCGUGCCAGCAGCCGCGGUAAUACGGAGGAUCCAAGCGUUAUCCGGAAUUAUUGGGUUUAAAGGGUCCGCAGGCCGUUUGUUAAGUCAGAGGUGAAAUCCUACCGCUCAACGGUAGAACUGCCUUUGAUACUGGCAAACUUGAGUUAUUGUGAAGUAGUUAGAAUGUGUAGUGUAGCGGUGAAAUGCAUAGAUAUUACACAGAACACCGAUUGCGAAGGCAGCUUACUAAGCUAUGAUUGACGCUGAGGUACGAAAGCGUGGGGAGCGAACAGGAUUAGAUACCCUGGUAGUCCACGCUGUAAACGAUGAUCACUCGUUGUUGGCGAUACAUUGUCAGCGACUGAGCGAAAGCAUUAAGUGAUCCACCUGGGGAGUACGAUCGCAAGAUUGAAACUCAAAGGAAUUGACGGGGGCCCGCACAAGCGGAGGAACAUGUGGUUUAAUUCGAUGAUACGCGAGGAACCUUACC
This 620-nucleotide ribosomal RNA is filed under the name uncultured Bacteroidota bacterium. RNAcentral describes it as "bacterial SSU rRNA". It matches the Rfam family "Bacterial small subunit ribosomal RNA", at positions 355 to 975 of the family's 1533-position model. The record is from RNAcentral. Lineage: Bacteria; Pseudomonadati; Bacteroidota.